GGGAUUGCAUGGACAACCAGGAUGUUGGCUUAGAAGCAGCCACUCCUUCAAAGAGUGCGUAAUAUCUAACGGGUCGAGUGAUCCUGGUCCGAAGCUGUCCGGGGCUAAAACUUACUACCGAAGCUACGGCAUCAGUAAUGAGGGGUAGGGGAGCUUCCCAUACGGGUUGAAGCAUGACCGUAAGGACAUGGGGACAGUAUGGGAGUGAGAAUGUUGGCAUGAGUAGCGAGAUGUGGGUGGGAAUCCCACAGGCCGUAAACCCAAGGUUUCCAGGGGAAGGUUCGUCCGCCCUGGGUUAGUCGGGACCUAAGCUGAGGCCGAAAGGCGUAGGUGAUGGACAACAGGUUGAUAUUCCUGUACUACCGAUAACCGUUUGAGAGAAGGGAUGACACAGUAGGAUAAGCUAAGCACACUGUUGGUUAUGUGUGCCCAAGCAUUGAGGCAGUCAAAGUAGGCAAAUCCGCUUUGAUAAUGCUGGGAUGUGAUGGAGAGGUAAAGUUAGUAGCGAAGGAGCUGAUUAUCACA
RNAcentral lists this ribosomal RNA (525 nucleotides) under Clostridioides difficile. RNAcentral describes it as "bacterial LSU rRNA". It matches the Rfam family "Bacterial large subunit ribosomal RNA", at positions 1077 to 1604 of the family's 2925-position model. The record is from RNAcentral. Lineage: Bacteria; Bacillati; Bacillota; Clostridia; Peptostreptococcales; Peptostreptococcaceae.